Long non-coding RNA from Neltuma alba, 1412 nucleotides. RefSeq lists it as uncharacterized. The transcript is spliced from 3 exons. The record is from RefSeq and is a predicted model, not a curated record. Lineage: Eukaryota; Viridiplantae; Streptophyta; Magnoliopsida; Fabales; Fabaceae.
UUGUUUACUUGUUCUCAAUUUUCUGAUCGAGUUUGUUUGGGUGAUUUCCAAAUAUAAGUUGCAUCUUAAAAAAAAAAACUGUUAAUCUUCUUUGGCAUUAACUUUGUUGCGUUCUUGUCAAUCAUAUACCUAUAAAAAUAUUUAAAAAUCAGAAAAAAAGGGAAAAACACUUUCUUCCAAUUCUUUCACUGCCUGUCCUGUUCAAUAUAAACUCACUCAGAGAAAGGGGUUGGUUUUUUCGUUUAAAAUCUCUUUAGCUGUCACUCUUGUUUUUCAUUGAUUAAGCUGGUUGCUUUCUUGUUAAUAUUGCCAAAAACAAAAAAAAAACAAAAAAGAAACUGUCUUCUUCAGAAGAUUUUGUACUGCUUGCCUUUAAGUCUUUAGAUCUGAACUGAAUUCAAAAAAGAAAACAAAAAGAGAAAACCUGUUUUGAAGAUUUCUUUUCUUGCUACUAUUCUUCUGCCUAUACUGCUGUCUUUUCUGUGAUCGAUCACUCUAAGAGGAAGAAGUGUGCACUCUAGAAGUUUUGGUGCCGUCUUCAUCUGUGCUUUGAUAUAUCAGACGCGAAAGGAAGUGAUGCUGGUCAUAAAGUGAUAUCGAACUUUAGCUGCUGCCUCUCAUCACAUCCCAAUCUCAAGAAGGUUAACUUCUCUUCGCAUUCAGCGAGCUGCUUAAGAAAGUGCCAAGGUAGUAAGCGAUUGUGGAGAGACGAUGAACCACCCACAGCAUAGCCACCCCCUGAGGUUCGAACGCAACAACAGGUCAUUUGAGUGCAGUGGAUGCAAAGAACGAGGGAAUGGCCCUAGGCACCAAUGUACACAUCAGAAUUGUACCUUCGUCCUUCACAAGUUUUGUUACACAGCUCGCCCUGAGGAGCCACCCAAACCCCAUCCAUUAACGGGUAGGGGCCAAUUCAAGUUUCUCUGGGGACCUCCGGGCGGACCGAACCAGCUGGUGUGCGUUGCUUGCGGCUGCGACGUUCGAGGUUUCGUGUAUCAUGAUUUCCAAGGCAACGUUGACUUGCACCCUUGUUGCAUGGACCUUGAGAAAGAAAAGCUUGUUCCCGGUUCUACGACUACGCGGAUGAGUCUUCAGGAAACAAUGCCGUCCAGGUGCAAGGCAUGCGAGAGGAGGAAUUCAAACGUACCGCCCAAAUUCAGAGGGUGGUCCUACGUAUCGUCUGGUGGAAAGUAUUGCUACCAUGUCAGUUGUGUGCUGAAAUUGCGUCGGGAUAAACGGUAAAAGGGCAAAGCUGGUUCUUCUUCUACAUGUUCGACAGCAUGAAAAGGCUGGUCAAGAUCAAAGCAGGGGCGGGGAUAGGUUUCAGCGUUAUAGCAUUAGCUAUACUCGGAAAUCCAUCUCCAUUAGUGUUAGGUGCUGGUGGAUGCGUGUGGGAUUGAAGGUUGGAUACA